GUUUGAUCCAAGGAAGAAUCUGAAAAAUCAUAAUAAUAAAAACACUUGUGAGACGGGCAUUGACAACAAGAUGGUAGAGAAGAGCUACUUGCCUUGAGUUCCCACAACAAAAGUUGAGCUAUUCACUAAAAAAGAAGGCUCAAUCUCAUAAAGAACCACAGUAUAAACUACAAAAAUUUCAUCCUAAUUAUAAUCGAUAGUGCUAGCAAGAUAAAAUCCCUGUUUUUAAGAAAAGAAUCAUUUUAAGGCAGUUGAAGAAAACAAUUUAGAAAAAACUAUUUUGUUAUUUUGGAGUUUUUAUAACUAAAAC
Molecule: unclassified non-coding RNA, 310 nt
Filed under: Hevea brasiliensis (rubber tree)
Lineage: Eukaryota; Viridiplantae; Streptophyta; Magnoliopsida; Malpighiales; Euphorbiaceae
Source: RNAcentral